Molecule: small nucleolar RNA, 131 nt
Filed under: Gallus gallus (chicken)
Lineage: Eukaryota; Metazoa; Chordata; Aves; Galliformes; Phasianidae
Description: GGN111 snoRNA
Rfam family: Small nucleolar RNA SNORA63
About the family: E3 belongs to the H/ACA class of snoRNAs and is involved in the processing of eukaryotic pre-rRNA and has regions of complementarity to 18S rRNA.
Source: RNAcentral
AAAGCAGGAUAAGUUAUGAUAUAGCUGUGCAGUGCUGUAUUAUCGUUCCCCCUGCUUAAAGAAAAAUGUUUCCUUCUAUCCCUACCUGCUUAGUUCCCACAGCAGGUAGGGACGCUGGGUUUCAUACAUCC